This is a long non-coding RNA of Pleuronectes platessa (European plaice), 857 nucleotides long. RefSeq lists it as uncharacterized. The transcript has 5 exons. NCBI's taxonomy places the organism in Eukaryota, Metazoa, Chordata, Actinopteri, Pleuronectiformes, Pleuronectidae. The record is from RefSeq and is a predicted model, not a curated record.
UUCAUCCCGAGGACCGACUGGGCCACGGACGGACUGGGCGAGCGGAACUGACGUGUGGAUUUUAGUAAACAUCCGGUCCUUUAACUCUGGGCUGCGUAAUAACCCCCGAGCGCUUGGAAGACAAACGAUGUCAUCUUCCUUCUGUCAGGAGGAUCCAAGUGAAGCUACAGGAGUUUCAUUAACGUCAAUAACUUGGACCGAACACUUUGUUUUGCUUGAUGAAGAGCAGGAAGGGCAGCCUGGAGAGAAAGAGAAGCCGGGUUGAGCCCACUACCAUCAUCCACGUACCACGAGGAAGAUGAGGGAGAGAAAUGAUCCUACCAUUAAAGAGACUGUGAAAAGAACGUUGAGAACAUCACCACUCUACAGGAAGACACAGUCCAGUAAUGGGUGUCAGAAGUUCAGUAGUGAACGACAGAUACUGUGGAAAAAUGAAGGACUGAUGCAUUUACUGAGACGGGACGUGAGGGCCUACUCUGCGUGCUCAGAGUUCAAGCCCAGCAGGCUGCAGCGGGCCUGACAUAUUCUGGAACAGCAGCACAGUCUUUGGAUGACUCCUCUGAAGAUGAAAACAUGGUGAGUUCUUCUCAAGAGAAGCAGUACAGGUGUGCCUCAGCUCCACGGUCCCUCCUGCAGCCUCCGCUCCUGAUGCUAACCUCAUGUCUCCAUCACACCAAGCAGCAGACCUGGAGUGACAGACCUUUCUCCAGAGCUGCCCCCUCCCUCUGAAACCCCCCUCUCCAAAACACUAUUUGUGGCGUUUUUAAAGUCUUAUUUGCAUGAGAAUUGUUGAUCAUAACAUUUCCAGCAGAUGCCUUAAUGUAAUGUUUGUGCACAAUAAAUGACAUUGAUCAUAA